Molecule: ribosomal RNA, 253 nt
Filed under: uncultured bacterium
Lineage: Bacteria
Description: partial 16S ribosomal RNA
Rfam family: Bacterial small subunit ribosomal RNA
Source: RNAcentral
CACGUAGGGCGCAAGCGUUGUCCGGAAUUAUUGGGCGUAAAGAGCUCGUAGGCGGUCUGUUGCGUCCGCUGUGAAAACUCGGGGCUUAACCCCGAGCCUGCAGUGGAUACGGGCAGACUAGAGGUAGGUAGGGGAGAAUGGAAUUCCCGGUGUAGCGGUGAAAUUCGUAGAUAUCAAGCGGAACACCGGUGGCGAAGGCGGCCUUCUGGACAGUGACUGGCGCUGAGACGCGAAAGCGUGGGGAGCAAACAGG